UUGGUAGGGGCACGAUUGUGUAACAGGUCAGGGGUUGCGAGGCGGCUGGACGCGCUGUCACUCCGCGUUGCGGUGAUGGUUUGCCCUGCAACUGAUCUCGUUCGCAUUGUGACGGCGAUCGCCUUGUAUCGUCAGUCACGUUAGUAAAUUGUCGAUCGCGUUGUUAUCGUCAGUUCACAUCGCGGCGGUAACAGCGAGGGCGGGAGCGAGAGCGACGCCGCUUCAACCCGAAGGCCCUCGCCUCAAUCGCAGCCCAAAAGGCGGCCCUGUAUGUGAGCGAGACGCCGGGGCGUGCCACGAAUCCUGCCAUCUCCCUCGAUGUCCCGUCGUCCUCCCGCGCACCACCACCGUCGUCACCACUAAUCCUCCUCCUCUUCCACUUCACCAUCCGCCUCCUCUGCCCAGCGGCCCCCCCCCCCCCCCCCUCUGCCCACCCCCCCCCCCCUCCUCUGCCCCCCGCGGUGCCGAUGAGCGCGUACGAGCGUUCGCUGUGCCGCUUCGUGGACGCCGGUCGCUCGGGCCGGCGGAACGCGUUGCCCGACAUCAUGGCGGCGCCGUCCUCGGUGGGCACGGCGGGCCUCUCGGAGCAGCUGGCGCACGCCCUCACGCUGCUGGGGCCCGGAGAGCCACCGACUGGCCUGACUCAGGGUUGUCUUCAGAGCGAUGGCUCGGCGGCCAGGCUCGGAGACGGAACGGAACCCAAGCGAUGAGGGUUUCUCCACCGGCCCCUUUGCACAAGUCUAGGGAACACUGAACACUAGUCACACUGGACACAAGUCACACUGAACACUAGUCACACUGAACACUAGUCACACUGAACACUAGUCACACUGAACACCAGUCACAGUGAACACUAGUCACACUGAACACCAGUCACACUGCACACUAGUCACACUGCACACCAGUCACACUGCACACUAGUCACACUGAACACUAGUCACACUGCACACUAGUCACACUGAACACUAGUCACACUGAACACUAGUCACACUGAACACUAGUCACACUAUUCACACUGAACACUAGUCACACUAGUCACACUGAACACCAGUCACACUGAACACUAGUCACACUGAACACAAGUCACACUGAACACUAGUCACACUGAACACCAGUCACACUGAACACUAGUCACACUGAACACUAGUCACACUGAACACCAGUCACAUUGAACACUAGUCACACUGAACACCAGUCACACUGAACACUAGUCACACUGCACACUAGUCACUGCACACUAGUCACACUGAACACCAGUCACACUGAACAUCAGUCACACUGAACACCAGUCACACUGAACACCAGUCACACUGAACACCAGUCACACUGAACACCAGUCACACUGAACACCAGUCACACUGAACAUUAGUCACACUGAACAUUAGUCACACUGAACAUUAGUCACACUGAACACCAGUCACACUGCACACUAGUCACACUGAACACUAGUCACACUCGUCACACCAGUCACAUAGAACACUCAAUCGAACAUAAAAUGCACACACUCGUCACAGGCAUACUGGACACGACUCAAUAGCACAUUGACCACGAUGCAGGUACACAAUUAACACUAGGCAAUGUAAUACUGAACACUUACCCACGUGUCUUUAGAAAACUAUUCAAGUUCUUACUGACCACGAGUCAAAAUGAAUGCUAUUCAGCUACACAUUGAACAAUGCUGAACACUAUGCAGAUGUAUACUGCACACUGGUCAUACUGUGCAUACAUAACACUAUUCAACAGCAUACUGAACAGCGUUCAUAUGGCAUCUUGAACAGUGUUCAUGAGCUUACUGAACACUUCGGUUGCAUAAGCAUACUGAACUAAUGCAAACUGAACACUACCUAUAAUCAACAUUAUGCAGGUGUGUACUUAACACAAAUGAUACCGAACACUACUCACUGGCAAACGGAACAAUCAAACUGGCGUAUACGGAACUCUAUUCAAUAGCAUGCUGAGCACUAUGCAGUUGCUGAUUGAACACUAAUCACAUGGCACACAAAAGCCAUAUUGAACACUAGUCAACUAGCCAAGUGCACAGUGACCACUAGUUAAGUGCAUGCUGACCACCACUAGUCAUGCUGAACGCUUGUCCAGCGCACACUUUCGGUUGGGAAUUGGCCAAAAAUCCCGAGCCUCGAGACUUGGUGAGGCUUUUGCUGGGUAAAACAGCGCAGGAGCCACUGUUGUUUUGGGCGGUCAUUCACGGGAGCAAAACUUGCACAGAGCUCCGGUCGAACCUCUCCCGCGCACAGAGAGACCCUACGAUUGAUCUUUCGUACGGGAUCGACGGCAUUGUUAGCGAGCACCUUUCAAAGCCGGAAUGGCACGCGAGGGCGCCAGCAUUUAAGGCUAGGUCCACCUAGGGGAGGCCCAAAAUAGCUUGCCGGUGAUGUUUGCCACGGCCAGGAAUCAAACCCGGGUCGCUGGGAAAAUGCAGCGCAGCGUGAAACCCACUGCCCUACAGCUUAAGACAAAGACCCCCGUAUAGCCUUAACAGGCAUUUGGGGCAAGUGCUGUUCGCGAGUACCCAUGGUGGCCGGCAUUGCACACCAGGGGGUGGGUAGCCAGCACCACGUCUCCCUAGUGGCGAUCUUGACACACCGCACCAGGUCCCCAUUUGAAGUUGAGUCGACCUUGGGGAGGCCCAGAAACGUUUUCAGAUAAUUAUCGUGACCGGUGUUGGCUGUGAGCACGAAUCAAACGCGGGUUCGCUGGGUUCAUCGCGUAGCACGCUUGCCACUAUGCCACCGCUCCCCGGGCUUAACGCAGACAAAUAUUCCCCUUGUAGCCUGAGCAGACUUUGGGGAAAGUGCCGUUAGCGAGCACCUCAGCUUAACGCGCACACGCGCACAACGCGCCUCGCGUACGCACAAUAGCACGUGCUCAUCUCAUGCGUAGAAGGUACGCGCAUCUGCACACAGCUCUUAACUGGACGAAUAACACACAAGCACGUAGCUGCACACGUGACACGCGCUAACUGGAAGGGAACAACAGAACAGGGGCCAUAGUUUCGCCUUUUGACUCGCGGCCUCUGCAAAUAUUUAUUUUGUUUGCCGAUCGGAGCUAGCGUUUUGCCAACAUUUUCCAACGAGCGUAGAGGCUACUGCGAUCGAUUCUCUCGCCUUGUGCUCUGCCUCGGAAAUUUACCGUCGCAGCCACUUAGUCAAUUCGCUGCUGGGGGUUGGGGUUCUCGCCCCCCCCCCCACUGCCUGCCGCACAACUCGUGCGGGUUGUCUGACCAUACUUCACCACCCUGGGUCAAUGUGUGCGGCUGGUGGAGGCUGAGGGGGUGGGGGGGGGUCGGGGAGCACCCGCGGGUGAUGGGAGCACAGAAGCACUGCGCAGCGAUUGACUUUUGCCGGCGUUUUUCUUCCAUUUCCCACCCGUAAGAGCCUAUAGCAACUUGUUUUGGUGCGCGGGGGUCGCCCAUCCAAUCACUGUCCAGGCUCAAACCCCCGCUUAGCUUCUGAUGUUAAAUGCUUUUUAAAAAAAAAAUUGUUCGCUUGGUAUUUCUGUCGUCAUGGCAACGCGAGGCUAUCGCGAAGGUGAGGCGUUUGGGUUACGUGACGUGUUGGCGCCUCACAAAAUAUAGUCGUGUAAAGUCACGGAUUGAUAUAGUCGGCUAGUACAGGGGGUGUGAUGUUUGCGAUGUGGCGUUUACGCACCUGGGCGAAUCUUUUUCAAACUCGGAAAAUAUGAUCUCUUAAGUGUCCAUCGGUCCGAGCAGCCUCUUGUCGACGACGAAUAUUUAUUUACAAACGAACGCUUCCCCCCGUGUAGACGACGGAGGACGCUUUUGCUUUUUUUGCUUCGAGUUCGGUCGAGCACGGCUUGGCUUGGGAGGGAGUUGUUUGCGGAUACGGGACGCGGAGUGGCCACCCGUCCACUUGAAUGGCGGUGCCGCUGGUGGUAAGGGAGAGCCCUCCCAUGCGGUCGUCAGGCGAGGGGGGCACACCGACGCUCCGAGCGUUUAGCAGGGGCGCAGCCACCGGCAGGCGUCGUCGGGGUUCCAGAUACACCCAACAUGUUCCAGAUGUGGCACAGAGACACGGCGGGUUUAGACGUGGCUAAGAUACACAACAGAUGUAGAUGUGGCUGAGAGACACGACUGGUUUAGACGUGGCUAGGAUAGACAGCAGAUGUAGAUGUGGCUGAGAGACACGACUGGUUUAGACGUGGCUAGGUGUCACAACAGAUGUAGAUGUGUCUGAGACACGACUGGUUUAGACGUAGCUAGGAGACACAACAGAUUUAGACGUGGCACAGAGACACGGCUGGUUUAGACGUGGCUAGGAUAGACAGCAGAUGUAGAUGUGGCUAAGAGACACGACUGGUUUAGACGUAGCUAGGUGUCACAGCAGAUGUAGAUGUGGCUGAGAGACACGACUGGUUUAGACGUGGCUAGGUGUCACAACAGAUACAGAUGUGGCUAAGAGACACAACUGGUUUAGACGUGGCUAGGUGUCACAACAGAUAUAGAUGUGGCUGAGAGACACGACUGGUUUAGAUGUGGCUAGGAUACACAGCAGAUGUAGAUGUGGCUAAGAGACACGACAGGUUUAGACGUGGCUAGGUGUCACAACAGAUAUAGAUGUGGCUAAGAGACACGACUGGUUUAGACGUGGCUAGGUGUCACAAGAAAUGUAGAUGUGGCUGAGAGACACGACUGGUUUAGACGUGGCUAGGUGUCACAACAGAUAUAGAUGUGGCUAAGAGACACGACUGGUUUAGACGUGGCUAGGAUACACAGCAGAUAUAGAUGUGGCUAAGAGACACGACUGGUUUAGACGUGGCUAGGUGUCACAACAGAUAUAGAUGUGGCUAAGAGACACGACUGGUUUAGACGUGGCUAGGAGACACAGCAGAUGUAGAUGUGGCUGAGAGACACGACUGGUUUAGACGUGGCUAGGAUACACAACAAAUGUAGAUGUGGCUAAGAGACACGACUGGUUUAGACGUGGUUAUGAUACACAGCAGAUGUAGAUGUGUAUAAGAGACACGACUGGUUUAGACGUGGCUAGGUGUCACAAUAGAUGUAGAUGUGGCUAAGAGACACGACUGGUUUAGACGUAGCUAGGUGUCACAACAGAUAUAGAUGUGGCUAAGAGACACGACUGGUUUAGACGUGGCUAGGUGUCACAACAGAUGUAGAUGUGGCUGAGAGACACGACUGGUUUAGACGUGGCUAGGUGUCACAACAAAUGUAGAUGUGGCUGAGAGACACGACUGGUUUAGAUGUGGCUAGGUGUCACAACAGAUAUAGAUGUGGCUAAGAGACACGAUGGGUUUAGACGUAGCUAGGAUACACAGCAGAUGUAGAUGUGGCUGAGAGACACGACGGGUUUAGACGUGGCUAGGUGUCACAACAGAUGUAGAUGUGGCUGAAAGACACGGCUGGUUUAGACGUAGCUAGGAUACACAGCAGAUGUAGAUGUGGCUAAGAGACACGACUGGUUUAGACGUGGCUAGGUGUCACAACAGAUAUAGAUGUGGCUGAGAGACACGGCUGGUUUAGACGUGGCUAGGAUACACAGCAGAUAUAGAUGUGGCUGAGAGACACGACUGGUUUAGACGUAGCUAGGAUACACAGCAGAUGUAGAUGUGGCUGAGAGACACGACUGGUUUAGACGUGGCUAGGUGUCACAAUAGAUGUAGAUGUGGCUAAGAGACACGACUGGUUUAGACGUAGCUAGGUGUCACAACAGAUAUAGAUGUGGCUAAGAGACACGACUGGUUUAGACGUGGCUAGGUGUCACAACAGAUGUAGAUGUGGCUGAGAGACACGACUGGUUUAGAUGUGGCUAGGUGUCACAACAGAUAUAGAUGUGGCUAAGAGACACGAUGGGUUUAGACGUAGCUAGGAUACACAGCAGAUGUAGAUGUGGCUGAGAGACACGACGGGUUUAGACGUAGCUAGGAUACACAGCAGAUGUAGAUGUGGCUGAGAGACACGACUGGUUUAGACGUAACUAGGUGUCACAACAGAUAUAGAUGUGGCUAAGAGACACGACUGGUUUAGACGUAGCUAGGUGUCACAACAGAUAUAGAUGUGGCUAAGAGACACGACUGGUUUAGACGUGGCUAGGUGUCACAACAGAUAUAGAUGUGGCUAACAGACACGACUGGUUUAGACGUGGCUAGGUGUCACAACAGAUGUAGAUGUGGCUGAGAGACACGACUGGUUUAGACGUGGCUAAGAUACACAACAGAUAUAGAUGUGGCUGAGAGACACGACUGGUUUAGACGUAGCUAGGAUACACAGCAGAUGUAGAUGUGGCUAAGAGACACGGCUGGUUUAGACGUGGCUAGGUGUCACAACAGAUGUAGAUGUGGCUGAGAGACACGACUGGUUUAGACGUGGCUAGGAGACACAGCAGAUGUAGAUGUGGCUUAGAGACACGACUGGUUUAGACGUGGCUAGGUGUCACAACAGAUGUAGAUGUGGCUAAGAGACACGACUGGUUUAGACGUGGCUAGGUGUCACAACAGAUGUAGAUGUGGCUGAAAGACACGGCUGGUUUAGACGUAGCUAGGAUACACAGCAGAUGUAGAUGUGGCUAAGAGACACGACUGGUUUAGACGUGGCUAGGAUACACAGCAGAUGUAGAUGUGGCUGAGAGACACGACUGGUUUAGACGUGGCUAGGUGUCACAACAAAUGUAGAUGUGGCACAGAGACACGACUGGUUUAGACGUAGCUAGGAGACACAGCAGAUGUAGAUGUGGCUAAGAGACACGACUGGUUUAGACGUGGCUAGGAUACACAGCAGAUGUAGAUGUGGCACAGAGACACGACUGGUUUAGACGUGGCUAGGAUACACAGCAGAUAGAUGUGGCUAAGAGACAUGACUGGUUUAGACGUGGCUAGGAUACACAACAAAUGUAGAUGUGGCUAAGAGACACGACUGGUUUAGACGUGGCUAUGAUACACAGCAGAUGUAGAUGUGUAUAAGAGACACGACUGGUUUAGACGUGGCUAGGUGUCACAAUAGAUGUAGAUGUGGCUAAGAGACACGACUGGUUUAGACGUAGCUAGGUGUCACAACAGAUGUAGAUGUGGCUAAGAGACACGACUGGUUUAGACGUGGCUAGGUGUCACAACAGAUGUAGAUGUGGCUAAGAGACACGACUGGUUUAGACGUGGCUAGGUGUCACAACAGAUGUAGAUGUGGCUGAGAGACACGACUGGUUUAGACGUGGCUAGGUGUCACAACAGAUAUAGAUGUGGCUAAGAGACACGACGGGUUUAGACGUAGCUAGGAUACACAGCAGAUGUAGAUGUGGCUGAGAGACACGACUGGUUUAGACGUAACUAGGUGUCACAACAGAUAUAGAUGUGGCUAAGAGACACGACUGGUUUUGACGUGGCUAGGUGUCACAACAGAUAUAGAUGUGGCUAACAGACACGACUGGUUUAGACGUGGCUAAGUGUCACAACAGAUGUAGAUGUGGCUGAGAGACACGACUGGUUUAGACGUGGCUAGGAUACACAGCAGAUGUAGAUGUGGCUGAGAGACACGACUGGUUUAGACGUGGCUAGGUGACACAACAGAUGUAGAUGUGGCUAAGAGACACAACGGGUUUAGACGUAGCUAGGAUACACAGCAGAUGUAGAUGUGGCACAGAGACACGACUGGUUUAGACGUGGCUAGGAUACACAGCAGAUGUAGAUGUGGCUGAGAGACACGACUGGUUUAGACGUGGCUAGGAGACACAACAGAUAUAGAUGUGGCUAAGAGACACGACUGGUUUAGACGUGGCUAGGUGUCACAACAGAUAUAGAUGUGGCUAAGAGACACGACGGGUUUAGACGUGGCUAGGAUACACAACAGAUAUAGAUGUGGCUGAGAGACACGACUGGUUUAGACGUGGCUAGGAUACACAGCAGAUGUAGAUGUGGCUAAGAGACACGACGGAUUUGGGGGGGGGGGGGUGGUUGGUGAACUCUACCGACCCUCUCUGUCGUCUACCCAGCAACCGCCGGGAACUAUUUGCCCCCUUGGCGCCUGCUUGGCCUAAUCGAAUGGGGGGCUCUCUGCUAGCUCGUGUUUACCCUUUGCAUGUGUCUUGUAAGCAAUAACGUUACUGAACGUGAAUUUAAUAAAGAACAUGUGAUGCUGACGUUU
This is a non-coding RNA of Petromyzon marinus (sea lamprey), 8128 nucleotides long. Lineage: Eukaryota; Metazoa; Chordata; Hyperoartia; Petromyzontiformes; Petromyzontidae. The record is from RefSeq and is a predicted model, not a curated record.